UGGGGAAUAUUGGACAAUGGAGGAAACUCUGAUCCAGCAAUUCUGUGUGUGUGAAGAAGGUUUUAGGACUGUAAAACACUUUUAGUAGGGAAGAAAAAAAUGACGGUACCUACAGAAGAAGCAACGGCUAAAUACGUGCCAGCAGCCGCGGUAAUACGUAUGUUGCGAGCGUUAUCCGGAAUUAUUGGGCGUAAAGGGCAUCUAGGCGGUAAGACAAGUUGAAGGUGAAAACCUGUGGCUCAACCAUAGGCUUGCCUACAAAACUGUUGAACUAGAGUACUGGAAAGGUGGGUGGAACUACACGAGUAGAGGUGAAAUUCAUAGAUAUGUGUAGGAAUGCCGAUGAUGAAGAUAACUCACUGGACAGAAACUGACGCUGAAGUGCGAAAGCUAGGGGAGCAAACAGG
This 407-nucleotide ribosomal RNA is filed under the name Verrucomicrobiota bacterium. RNAcentral describes it as "Verrucomicrobia bacterium partial 16S ribosomal RNA". It matches the Rfam family "Bacterial small subunit ribosomal RNA", at positions 355 to 776 of the family's 1533-position model. The record is from RNAcentral. Lineage: Bacteria; Pseudomonadati; Verrucomicrobiota.